This 153-nucleotide ribosomal RNA is filed under the name uncultured bacterium. RNAcentral's name for it is "partial 16S ribosomal RNA". It matches the Rfam family "Bacterial small subunit ribosomal RNA", at positions 1348 to 1500 of the family's 1533-position model. The record is from RNAcentral.
AUCAGCAAGCCGCGGUGAAUACGUUCCCGGGCCUUGUACACACCGCCCGUCACACCAUGAGAGUCGGGAAUGCCCGAAGUCAGCGGCCCAACCGAAAGGAGGGAGCUGCCGAAGGCAGGCCUGGUGACUGGGGUGAAGUCGUAACAAGGUAAC